This 497-nucleotide ribosomal RNA is filed under the name uncultured bacterium. RNAcentral describes it as "partial 16S ribosomal RNA". It matches the Rfam family "Bacterial small subunit ribosomal RNA", at positions 28 to 507 of the family's 1533-position model. The record is from RNAcentral.
GAUGAACGCUGGCGGCGUGCCUAAUACAUGCAAGUCGAGCGAAUGGACGAGAAGCUUGCUUCUCUGAUGUUAGCGGCGGACGGGUGAGUAACACGUGGAUAACCUACCUAUAAGACUGGGAUAACUUCGGGAAACCGUAGCUAAUACCGGAUAAUAUUUUGAACCGCAUGGUUCAAAAGUGAAAGACGGUCUUGCUGUCACUUAUAGAUGGAUCCGCGCUGCAUUAGCUAGUUGGUAAGGUAACGGCUUACCAAGGCAACGAUGCAUAGCCGACCUGAGAGGGUGAUCGGCCACACUGGAACUGAGACACGGUCCAGACUCCUACGGGAGGCAGCAGUAGGGAAUCUUCCGCAAUGGGCGAAAGCCUGGCGGAGCAACGCCGCGUGAGUGAUGAAGGUCUUCGGAUCGUAAAACUCUGUUAUUAGGGAAGAACAUAUGUGUAAGUAACUGUGCACAUCUUGACGGUACCUAAUCAGAAAGCCACGGCUAACUACGUG